UACGUAGGUGGCAAGCGUUGUCCGGAAUUAUUGGGCGUAAAGCGCGCGCAGGCGGCCUUUUAAGUCUGAUGUGAAAGCCCCCGGCUUAACCGGGGAGGGUCAUUGGAAACUGGGAGGCUUGAGUGCAGAAGAGGAAAGUGGAAUUCCAAGUGUAGCGGUGAAAUGCGUAGAGAUUUGGAGGAACACCAGUGGCGAAGGCGACUUUCUGGUCUGUUACUGACGCUGAGGCGCGAAAGCGUGGGGAGCAAACAGGAUUAGAUACCCUGGUAGUCCCUGA
This 277-nucleotide ribosomal RNA is filed under the name uncultured prokaryote. RNAcentral describes it as "partial 16S ribosomal RNA". It matches the Rfam family "Bacterial small subunit ribosomal RNA", at positions 524 to 800 of the family's 1533-position model. The record is from RNAcentral.